CCUACGGGAGGCAGCAGUGAGGAAUAUUGGUCAAUGGACGCGAGUCUGAACCAGCCAAGUAGCGUGAAGGAUGACGGCCCUAGGAGUUGUAAACUUCUUUUAUACAGGAAUAAACUGAGGCACGUGUGCCUUUUUGUAUGUAGCUUAUGAAUAAGGAUCGGCUAACUCCGUGCCAGCAGCCGCGGUAAUACGGAGGAUCCGAGCGUUAUCCGGAGUUAUUGGGUUUAAAGGGAGAGUAGGUGGGUUGUUAAGUGAGUGGUGAAAGUCUGCGGCUCAACCUCGAAAUUGCAAUUGAUACUGGCAGGCUAGAGUGCAGUUGAGGUAGGCGGAAUUCGUGGUGUAGCGGUGAAAUGCUUAGAUAUCACGAAGAACUCCGAUUGCGAAGGCAGCUUACUAAACUGCCACUGACAUUGAUGCUCGAAAGUGUGGGUAUCAAACAGGAUUAGAUACCCGGGUAGUC
RNAcentral lists this ribosomal RNA (460 nucleotides) under uncultured bacterium. Its description in RNAcentral is "partial 16S ribosomal RNA". It matches the Rfam family "Bacterial small subunit ribosomal RNA", at positions 338 to 795 of the family's 1533-position model. The record is from RNAcentral.